GAUAUCAAGCCCAACCAGCACCUCCAAGCUCCAACCAAUACCUUGAGAAGAUGAUGGAGACAUUGGCAAGUUCUAUGCAAAGCAUCCAACAGCAGAUAGAACAAAUGACCACCUCAUUAAAUGCAAACAUGUUAAGGAGAGAGGAAGAGUUUCAAGAUGAUAAGACAAAUGAUGAAAGUUCACAAGUACAACAACAAGCUGCUGAAGAGAAACAACCAGAAAAUUGUUUGCCUAAACAAACUGAUCAAACAGAAUCUGUUGAUAAUUUAGAUAUCAUUGAUUGUUUGAGUGAAAAUGUUUUUUUUUGUAAAUCAAGAUGAUAUACUAAAUGAUGAUCUUUGCAGGAAUGAGAGCCAGAAAGAGUCGAAACUUAAGGAAAUAGUUUGCAGCAUCCACCAAAUGAACUGCAAACCACUAUAGGAAGUACAGAAACCAGUUGCACCACUUCAGAAUGGAGUACAUACCACCCCUACACAAGAAGAGGCAUCUGAAAGCCUCUCAGGCGCGCCCAUUCAGCUUCCCAUGCAAAUUAGCUCUCCUCCGCCUCCCUUUCAGCCAAGUCCUGCGCAAAAGGAAGCUUCUGAAUCCAGUUCUGCGCCAUCUCCUUUGCAGUCAAGUCUUGCACAGAAGGAGACUUCUGAAACCACCUCUGCGCAGACACCUUUGCAACAUCUCUCAGAAUCUGAAGAAUAUAAGAAUGACCACCUUGAACAAAUCUUCCUUGCU
This 726-nucleotide long non-coding RNA is filed under the name Manihot esculenta (cassava). RNAcentral describes it as "long non-coding RNA (MESC_LNC006539)". The record is from RNAcentral. Lineage: Eukaryota; Viridiplantae; Streptophyta; Magnoliopsida; Malpighiales; Euphorbiaceae.